GGAAAUCAUAAAAUGUUUAGCUAGUGACUUGUCAUGGUAACAAGCUAGCAAGAGGUUGCAAAGCAACAGCAUCAACUUCCGGUAGACAGGCGAAGCGCUAGUAUGCUCAACUGAAAUGAUACCGUUCGCUUACAGUAUACUAAAAUGAACUAAUAGUAUAUACUCAUUAAGUAUGUAGUAUACAGUAUGUUAGCAUGGGUAUUCGAACACUGCUCAGGUGUACUUACGUAUCUCAUCUUCUGUAGCCAGCGUAAUGCUUCGAACACACCGACUGCGUUUUGCAUCACUGCUGCAUAACAUUUUGCGCAGCUAGGCAACUAUACUGAUGCAGGUAUCUUUUGCAGAUGGUCGCAUGCGUUUGGACACAUGGAGAGAAUCAUUUUUGCAGUAUCCUCAAAACUGUGUCUUUUUGAGACAACUGCUGACAGCUACAGGGACAUAAACACAAAAAAUGCUGCUUGGAGACAAGUGUCCACGAUAGUAGGAUUGCCAGAAGAAGACUGUAGGAGGAAGUGGAGAGUACUCAGGGACAGGUAUCAGAGAGAGAGAAGGGCAGAGAAAGGGAAGAAGAGGUCUGGGUCAGCAGCUUCAGGCCAGCAGCCUUGGCGCUUUUGCCACAUUCUUUCUUCUCUUGAUCCAUUUAUUGUGCCUAGGGCAAUGAGUGGCAAUUUUACAGCCAGACCCUCAACGUCAUCUACAAGUGCGACCAUGGCCUUCACCGGUGCAGCAAGAUCCUCUACAACGUCUACGUCAUCCACGAGUAUGACCACCACCGGUGCAGCCAUGGAAGACGGGGCGGCAGCGAUAAAGACGAUGAAAUGGAGGAAGAACCUCUGGAUCUCGGACCACCUGAGAUUAUUAUGAACCCCACAGAAGUGACCACUGAGGACCUCGUUGAACAGGAUGUGGCCGUGGAGACAAACGAGGAGAGAAACACAGAGAGAGAAACGAAGAUGAACGUCGUCACACCAGGCAUCAUCGGAGGUACCAGCCCCCAGAGCCACUCAACUCAUUUCAGCAGAGGCUCUUCCAAGCCGUCGAGAGGGAUGCAGCCCAACCUGAUGCUCACAGGAAGGAGGAUGAAGAGACCCUCUUUGCCAUGAGCCUGGUGCCAACCCUGAAGAGGCUGCCUCAGCAAAGAAAAGCAGCAGUUAAGGUUAAAAUGUAUCAGCUGCUUUUCCAAGCCGAGUUCAAUGAGAUGGAGUCCAUUUAGCCGACCAGCUCACAGGAAGGACAGGAAGAGGAGAGGAGUUGUCUGGUUGUUGUUUUUGACCUCCUUCAUUGUACCUUUCUUUUCACACACGUCCGUUCCGUUUAAAUUCAGUCAAUUCAUAAAGUCAUUUGUUUAUAAAGUCUUAGGAUAGCAUUCAUUAUUAGUGUUACAUAGAUUUCUGAAUUGACAGAAUUGAAACUCAUACACCGAAGAACUCACAGAUGCUCUUGUUGGUCUCUUACGAGACUAAAGGUCAAUAUAUUUAUUUAAUUUAAAACCACUUGAAAACCAGGGUGUUGAAACUUUUUGUGAAGUUAUGUUCCAUCGACUGGUCCAUGACGUCCAGGGGCCAUUUGUUUGUUUAGCUGUGUUAUGGCUACACAUUCUUUUCUUUUUUUCAGAGACAGAGACACACACACCUCUCCUCCCUGUACCUCAGAUCUCCAGUGCCCUGCCCUCUCUCUCUUUAUGGCCAUGUCUGAAGUUCCCCUACUACGUCUAGGCUUUAUGAGUAGUCCCUGUAUCUGUCUGCAGUUGUACCAAAAAAGACAUGCUCUUGUUGUUCUCUUACAGAUUACAGGCUACACAUUCAUUUUUUUUUUUAAAUGUUUACACGCACACCUCUUUCAAUAGUUGUAUUUUUUUUAAACAUUUUUACAACACACAUACCUGUCAUGUUCUUUCCUGUACUUGAAUACUUAUUCAAUUAUAAUAUUUUCAUAGUCAGUUGUUUAUUAAUAUCUCAUUUAGACUUAAUCUGUGUAACGGCUGUCGUAGAGAGGGGACCAAAGCACAGCGUGUUGAUUGCUCAUGAUGAAUAUUUAUUUUAACU
Molecule: long non-coding RNA, 2045 nt
Organism: Salmo salar (Atlantic salmon)
Lineage: Eukaryota; Metazoa; Chordata; Actinopteri; Salmoniformes; Salmonidae
Source: RefSeq, a predicted model, not a curated record